UCUGGAUAAUUUCCAGUAAUGAAAGGAGCUUUCAAGCUCCGCUGAUUGAUGAGGAUGCGGCGCAUUAGCUAGUUGGUAGGGUAAUGGCCUACCAAGGCAAUGAUGCGUAGCCGAUCUGAGAGGAUGAACGGCCACAUUGGGACUGAGACACGGCCCAAACUUCUACGGAAGGCAGCAGUAGGGAAUUUUUCACAAUGGGCGAAAGCCUGAUGGAGCAAUGCCGCGUGACUGAUGAAGGUCUUCGGAUUGUAAAGGUCUGUUGUAAGGGAAGAAAUGGUAAAACAGGAAAUGGUUUUAUCUAUGACGGUACCUUACCAGAAAGCCACGGCUAACUAUGUGCCAGCAGCCGCGGUAAUACAUAGGUGGCAAGCGUUAUCCGGAUUUAUUGGGCGUAAAGGGUGCGUAGACGGUUUUGCAAGUCUGAGGUUAAAUUUAGGAGCUCAACUCCUAAUCGCCUUGGAAACUACAAGACUAGAGUAUAGGAGAGGUUAGUGGAAUUCCAUGUGUAGCGGUGGAAUGUGUAGAUAUAUGGAGGAACACCAGUGGCGAAGGCGGCUAACUGGCCUAUCACUGACGUUGAAGCACGAAAGCGUGGGGAGCAAAUAGGAUUAGAUACCCUAGUAGUCCACGCUGUAAACGAUGAGUACUAAGUGUUGCCAUAAAAGGCAGUGCUGUAGCUAACGCAUUAAGUACUCCGCCUGAGUAGUAUGCUCGCAAGAG
Molecule: ribosomal RNA, 720 nt
Filed under: uncultured Spiroplasma sp.
Lineage: Bacteria; Bacillati; Mycoplasmatota; Mollicutes; Entomoplasmatales; Spiroplasmataceae
Description: bacterial SSU rRNA
Rfam family: Bacterial small subunit ribosomal RNA
Source: RNAcentral